This is a long non-coding RNA of Antechinus flavipes (yellow-footed antechinus), 176 nucleotides long. RefSeq lists it as uncharacterized. NCBI's taxonomy places the organism in Eukaryota, Metazoa, Chordata, Mammalia, Dasyuromorphia, Dasyuridae. The record is from RefSeq and is a predicted model, not a curated record. The transcript is spliced from 3 exons.
GGAAAAGAAGGAAGAGGAGGAGGAGGUGGUCGUGGUGGUGAAGGAGGAGGAGAAGGUGAUGUGGUGGUGGUGGUGGUGGAGGAAGAGGAGGAGGAGGUGAUGGUGGUGAUGGUGGGAGGAGGAGGAGGAGGUGGUGGUAAUGAAGAGGAGAAAGAGGAGGAGGAGGAGGAGGAGGA